AUGGACACGGAAAGGUUAAAAAGGUUCUUAAUCGGGUUGGUGGUAGGAUUAGCCAUAACGGCCUUGCUUCUCGUCGCCGAUGCCACAAGGCCCAAGAAGCGUGAUGAUAUCAGGUUGAACGACAGGGGUGAGUGCGUGUACCCCAUGAGCCUGUCUUUCGCGGUGAGUUUGGCCCAACUGGCUUUCGUUCUGGCUGUCGUCUCGCAUUACACCUCCCAAAACGGAUGCUGCAAGCCCCGCGACGGCGUCUCCGGAUCGAGCUUCGUGGCGGGCAUCAUCCUUGCCAUCAUCUCAUGGUCAAUGGCGUUGGACGCGGGAGGAAUCUUUCUCUUGGACAUGUUGGCGGUCUGGCCCGGGAACCACGGUAAAGCCCCGGAGUGUUACAACGGUGUUGAGGCGGAUCAUCAUCGCUAUAUGGAGGAGGCAUUCUACCGGAGCAUGUUCGCCAUCUUCUUUGCAGGCUGCUCCUCCAAGUUACGUUCCCCUCCUCCUCCUCCUCCUAUAGCAUCCUAG
RNAcentral lists this ribosomal RNA (513 nucleotides) under Triticum aestivum (bread wheat). RNAcentral describes it as "partial small subunit ribosomal RNA". Lineage: Eukaryota; Viridiplantae; Streptophyta; Magnoliopsida; Poales; Poaceae. The record is from RNAcentral.